Molecule: ribosomal RNA, 462 nt
Filed under: uncultured bacterium
Lineage: Bacteria
Description: partial 16S ribosomal RNA
Rfam family: Bacterial small subunit ribosomal RNA
Source: RNAcentral
GACGAACGCUGGCGGCGUGCUUAACACAUGCAAGUCGAGCGGAAAGGCCCUUCGGGGUACUCGAGCGGCGAACGGGUGAGUAACACGUGAGUAACCUGCCCCAGACUUUGGGAUAACCCUAGGAAACGGGGGCUAAUACCGGAUACGACACAGCUUCGCAUGGGGUCUGUGUGGAAAGUUUUUCGGUUUGGGAUGGGCUCGCGGCCUAUCAGCUUGUUGGUGGGGUGAUGGCCUACCAAGGCGACGACGGGUAGCCGGCCUGAGAGGGCGACCGGCCACACUGGGACUGAGACACGGCCCAGACUCCUACGGGAGGCAGCAGUGGGGAAUAUUGCACAAUGGGCGGAAGCCUGAUGCAGCGACGCCGCGUGAGGGAUGACGGCCUUCGGGUUGUAAACCUCUUUCAGCAGGGACGAAGCGUAAGUGACGGUACCUGCAGAAGAAGCGCCGGCCAACUACGUG